This 293-nucleotide ribosomal RNA is filed under the name Thalassiosira minuscula. RNAcentral describes it as "partial Bacterial large subunit ribosomal RNA". It matches the Rfam family "Bacterial large subunit ribosomal RNA", at positions 1679 to 1956 of the family's 2925-position model. The record is from RNAcentral. Lineage: Eukaryota; Bacillariophyta; Thalassiosirophyceae; Thalassiosirales; Thalassiosiraceae.
UACUAAGGCGCUUGAGAGAACUCGGGUGAAGGAACUAGGCAAAGUGGUACCGUAACUUCGGGAGAAGGUACGCCGCUGACGGUGAUGAGACUUGCUCUCUGAGCUAUCGGCGGUCGCAGUGAAAAGGCCCCUGCAACUGUUUAUUAAAAACACAGCACUGUGCUAAAUCGAAAGAUGACGUAUACGGUGUGACACCUGCCCGGUGCCGGAAGGUUAAUUGAUGGGGUUAGCGUAAGCGAAGCUCUUGAUCGAAGCCCCGGUAAACGGCGGCCGUAACAAUAACGGUCCUAAGG